AUGCUAUGGCUUUUUUAUUUUGUAUUUAUUUAUUUAUUUAUUUAUUUUGAUUGGGUGGAAUUGGGGGAGUUCAGCGAACGCGCCGUCAGCGCUGCACGGAAGAAAGCGCUCGGGGCGGCGUUGGCCGCGCACUCUCCGCGGCCUGCCAGAGCGCCGCCAGCAUCAAGCAGCCUGCCCGGGCCCGCCGCUGCGUGGUUCGGCUUUAUAUUUAAUACAUGCCUUUUCAUCUAUAAUUCACGCUGCUCAGACUCCAGCCACGUCUCGGCUCCCAUUUACGCCUGCACACCUUUCUCCUUCCCCUUCCCGAAGGGUCAGCCGAGAUACUCGGUGAAGGAAGGGGAGAGCUGUUUCGCUGGUUGUGUUUUUGUCUGCUUAAACAUCGAGCUGGAAAACACUUGUGGUCUGAUAAAUAAUAAAAGUGCUGAUUUCUCUUUCCCUGUAAAUGACACAGUUGAUAGCAUUGGCCAGCAAGAGAUCCAAGUUACUGCCUUGAAGAUUUUAGAAGAUUUUACAUCUUCAGAUGCAGGUUCCUGCCUUCAGAUUCCUAUAUACAUACACACGUACGGCGCAGUGUUAGGCAGUGGUGGAAGCUCCUUAUUUCUGUUAGAGACUGAGGAGCACUGUGAGACUGACUGCUCUUUGUGCUGAACUCAAGAGACAGCAAACGCAAUACUGGGUGCAUCAUCCAACAUUUUUCUAAUUUGAUAGUGAAAACCUGGCAUCAGCUAUUAUAAGCAGUCUAACUGACAUUCAUACAAGUUGGAAGAUUUUAAAGCUUAUUUUAAGGCUGAUUGGCAGCAACUUUCUCUUCAAAAACUGAAUGCAGUAGCAAUAAGUUAAUCACAAGCAUUAAUAAAAAUUGUGCUUGAGGUCA
RNAcentral lists this long non-coding RNA (874 nucleotides) under Coturnix japonica (Japanese quail). Its description in RNAcentral is "lncRNA (ENSCJPG00005019602.1)". The record is from RNAcentral. Lineage: Eukaryota; Metazoa; Chordata; Aves; Galliformes; Phasianidae.